Molecule: non-coding RNA, 29 nt
Filed under: Mus musculus (house mouse)
Lineage: Eukaryota; Metazoa; Chordata; Mammalia; Rodentia; Muridae
Source: RNAcentral
UGAACUCUCUUAAGAGAUUACAGGAUGUC